RNAcentral lists this ribosomal RNA (325 nucleotides) under uncultured eukaryote. RNAcentral describes it as "partial 18S ribosomal RNA". It matches the Rfam family "Eukaryotic small subunit ribosomal RNA", at positions 1470 to 1796 of the family's 1831-position model. The record is from RNAcentral.
CCCUUAGAUGUUCUGGGCCGCACGCGCGCUACACUGAUGCAUUCAACGAGCCUAUCCUUGACCGACAGGUCCGGGUAAUCUUUGAAUCUGCAUCGUGACGGGGAUAGAUUAUUGCAAUUAUUAAUCUUCAACGAGGAAUGCCUAGUAGGCGCAAGUCAUCAGCUUGCGUCGAUUACGUCCCUGCCCUUUGUACACACCGCCCGUCGCUCCUACCGAUUGGGUGUGCUGGUGAAAUGUUCGGAUCGGUCGUUUGUCGCGGUUUCCGCGGCUCGUGGCUGAGAAGUUCAUUAAACCCUCCCACCUAGAGGAAGGAGAAGUCGUAACA